RNAcentral lists this ribosomal RNA (502 nucleotides) under uncultured bacterium. Its description in RNAcentral is "partial 16S ribosomal RNA". It matches the Rfam family "Bacterial small subunit ribosomal RNA", at positions 29 to 507 of the family's 1533-position model. The record is from RNAcentral.
AGCGAACGCUGGCGGCGUGCCUAACACAUGCAAGUCGAACGUGAAAGGGAGCAAUCCCAAGUAAAGUGGCGUACGGGUGAGUAACACGUAGGUAAUCUACCCCAGAAUCUGGAAUAACCGGCCGAAAGGCUGGCUAAUACUGGAUAGAGCGACGGAAUCCGUAAUUGGGUUUUUCGGGAAAGGGAGCCUGUAAAAAGGCCUUCGUUCUGGGAUGAGCCUGCGUCCCAUCAGCUAGUUGGUGAGGUAAAAGCUUACCAAGGCAAUGACGGGUAGCUGGUCUGAGAGGACGGUCAGCCACACUGGAACUGAAACACGGUCCAGACUCCUACGGGAGGCAGCAGGGGGGAAUCUUGCGCAAUGGACGAAAGUCUGACGCAGCAACGCCGCGGGAGUGAAGAAGGCCUUCGGGUUGUAAAGCUCUGUCGAGUGGGACGAAAAUGCUUGGAGUUCACAGCUCCAGGAACUGACGGUACCACUAAAGGAAGCACCGGCUAACUCCGUG